AACGAACGCUGGCGGCAGGCUUAACACAUGCAAGUCGAACGGUGUAGCAAUACACAGUGGCAGACGGGUGAGGAACACGUGGGAACAUCCCUUUCGGUUCGGAAUAACGUUGGGAAACUAACGCUAAUACCGGAUACGUCCUUCGGGAGAAAGAUUUAUUGCCGAGAGAUUGGCCCGCGUCUGAUUAGCUAGUUGGUGAGGUAACGGCCCACCAAGGCUACGAUCAGUAGCUGAUCUGAGAGGAUGAUCAGCCACAUUGGGACUGAGACACGGCCCAAACUCCUACGGGAGGCAGCAGUGGGGAAUAUUGGACAAUGGGCGCAAGCCUGAUCCAGCCAUGCCGCGUGAGUGAUGAAGGCCUUCGGGUUGUAAAGCUCUUUUAUCCGGGAAGAUAAUGACUGUACCGGAAGAAUAAGCCCCGGCAAACUUCGUGUCAGCCGCCGCAGUAA
Molecule: ribosomal RNA, 449 nt
Filed under: uncultured bacterium
Lineage: Bacteria
Description: partial 16S ribosomal RNA
Rfam family: Bacterial small subunit ribosomal RNA
Source: RNAcentral